RNAcentral lists this ribosomal RNA (253 nucleotides) under uncultured bacterium. RNAcentral describes it as "partial 16S ribosomal RNA". It matches the Rfam family "Bacterial small subunit ribosomal RNA", at positions 524 to 776 of the family's 1533-position model. The record is from RNAcentral.
UACGUAGGGUGCGAGCGUUAAUCGGAAUUACUGGGCGUAAAGCGUGCGCAGGCGGUUUUGUAAGACAGGGGUGAAAUCCCCGGGCUCAACCUGGGAACUGCGCUUGUGACUGCAAGACUCGAGUACGGCAGAGGGGGGUGGAAUUCCACGUGUAGCAGUGAAAUGCGUAGAGAUGUGGAGGAACACCGAUGGCGAAGGCAGCCCCCUGGGUCGAUACUGACGCUCAUGCACGAAAGCGUGGGGAGCAAACAGG